UACAGAGGGUGCAAGCGUUAAUCGGAAUUACUGGGCGUAAAGCGUGCGUAGACGGUUACAUAAGUCGGGUGUGAAAGCCCCGGGCUCAACCUGGGAAUUGCAUUCGAGACUGCUCUGCUAGGGUGCGGAAGAGGGAAGCGGAAUUUCCGGUGUAGCGGUGAAAUGCGUAGAUAUCGGAAGGAACACCAGUGGCGAAAGCGGCUUCCUGGUCCAGCACCGACGUUCAGGCACGAAAGCGUGGGGAGCAAACAGG
RNAcentral lists this ribosomal RNA (253 nucleotides) under uncultured bacterium. RNAcentral describes it as "partial 16S ribosomal RNA". It matches the Rfam family "Bacterial small subunit ribosomal RNA", at positions 524 to 776 of the family's 1533-position model. The record is from RNAcentral.